Molecule: ribosomal RNA, 274 nt
Filed under: uncultured bacterium
Lineage: Bacteria
Description: partial 16S ribosomal RNA
Rfam family: Bacterial small subunit ribosomal RNA
Source: RNAcentral
AUACGGAGGGUGCAAGCGUUAAUCGGAAUUACUGGGCGUAAAGCGUUCGUAGGCGGUUAUUUAAGUUAGAUGUGAAAGCCCCGGGCUUAACUUGGGAACUGCAUUUGAAACUGGGUAACUAGAGUUUAGUAGAGGGGAGUGGAAUUUCAGGUGUAGCGGUGAAAUGCGUAGAGAUCUGAAGGAACACCAGUGGCGAAGGCGACUCCCUGGACUAAAACUGACGCUGAGGUACGAAAGCGUGGGUAGCAAACAGGAUUAGAAACCACAGUAGUCC